Molecule: ribosomal RNA, 427 nt
Filed under: uncultured bacterium
Lineage: Bacteria
Description: bacterial SSU rRNA
Rfam family: Bacterial small subunit ribosomal RNA
Source: RNAcentral
GGACCCGCACAAGUAGUGGAGCAUGUGGUUUAAUUCGAAGAUACGCGCAGAACCUUACCAACACUUGACAUGUUCGUCGCGACUUUAAGAGAUUAAAGUUUUCGGUUCGGCCGGACGAAACACAGGUGCUGCAUGGCUGUCGUCAGCUCGUGUCGUGAGAUGUUGGGUUAAGUCCCGCAACGAGCGCAACCCUUACUUUAGUUGCCAUCAUUUAGUUGGGCACUCUGAAAGAACUGCCAGUGAUAAGCUGGAGGAAGGUGGGGAUGACGUCAAGUCCUCAUGGCCCUUACGUGUUGGGCUACACACGUGCUACAAUGGCAUUUACAAUAGGAAGCAAGAUGGCGACAUCAAGCAAAUCCUAAAAGAUGCCUCAGUUCGGAUUGUACUCUGCAACUCGAGUACAUGAAGCUGGAAUUACUAGUAAUCG